Molecule: non-coding RNA, 433 nt
Organism: Heterocephalus glaber (naked mole-rat)
Lineage: Eukaryota; Metazoa; Chordata; Mammalia; Rodentia; Bathyergidae
Source: RefSeq, a predicted model, not a curated record
CUUGCUCGGUCUUGGGAGCCCUCCCGACUCUGUCUCUUUGUCUUAUUUUCUCAGUCCUCCUUUCCCCCAUUCAGGAACCUUUCGACUGGUGACAGCUGGUCCUUCACAGGUGGCGCCCAAACAGGGACCUGAAUACGGGGGAUACCAGAGUGAAGGACACCGCGGGUAUACGAGGGCGCUCGAUGCUCAAGGGUUGACUGCAGCGGAAAGAUUAUGGCAUCCAGAGACCAAAGCAUCAUACGCAUUGGACGCUGAAGGUGCCCGGUGGCUGCCUGAAAGAUUGGUCCAUUUCACGGGAAGUUCUUCUGCCCGUAGAGAUGAUUCUGACAACUGUCCUGCUGGUGAAUCUAAUGAUGGUGUGUAAUGGAGAACUUUAUUGGACUUACGUACCUGAUCCACCUGUUGUACAUCCAAUGAGCUGGGAGAAUGGAGA